Molecule: ribosomal RNA, 468 nt
Filed under: uncultured bacterium
Lineage: Bacteria
Description: partial 16S ribosomal RNA
Rfam family: Bacterial small subunit ribosomal RNA
Source: RNAcentral
GACGAACGCUGGCGGCGUGCUUAACACAUGCAAGUCGAACGGAAAGGCUCCAGCUUGCUGGAGUACUCGAGUGGCGAACGGGUGAGUAACACGUGGGUGAUCUGCCCUGCACUUCGGGAUAAGCCUGGGAAACUGGGUCUAAUACCGGAUAGGACCGCACUUUGGUGUGUGUGGUGGAAAGGUUUUUCUGGUGUGGGAUGAGCUCGCGGCCUAUCAGUUUGUUGGUGGGGUAAUGGCCUACCAAGACGGCGACGGGUAGCCGGCCUGAGAGGGUGGACGGUCACAUUGGGACUGAGAGACGGCCCAGACGCCUACGGGAGGCAGCAGGGGGGAAUAUUGCACAAUGGGGGAAACCCUGAUGCAGCGACGCCGCGUGGGGGAUGAAGGCCUUCGGGUUGUAAACUACUUUCGCUAGGGACGAAGCUUUUUGUGACGGUACCUGGAGAAGAAGCACCGGCUAACUACGUG